RNAcentral lists this ribosomal RNA (270 nucleotides) under uncultured archaeon. Its description in RNAcentral is "partial 16S ribosomal RNA". It matches the Rfam family "Archaeal small subunit ribosomal RNA", at positions 477 to 747 of the family's 1478-position model. The record is from RNAcentral.
CUGCAGCUCAAGUGGUGGCCGCUAUUAUUGGGCCUAAAACGUCCGUAGCCGGUUUAGUAAAUGCCUGGGUAAAUCGUGUAGCUUAACUAUACGACUUCCGGGUAGACUGCUAGACUUGGGACCGGGAGAGGCUAGAGGUACUCCUGGGGUAGAGGUGAAAUUCUGUAAUCCUAGGUGGACCACCAGUGGCGAAGGUGUCUAGCUAGAACGGGUCUGACGGUGAGGGACGAAGCCCUGGGGCGCAAACCGGAUUAGAUACCCGAGUAGUCC